This 328-nucleotide ribosomal RNA is filed under the name uncultured bacterium. Its description in RNAcentral is "bacterial SSU rRNA". It matches the Rfam family "Bacterial small subunit ribosomal RNA", at positions 1 to 346 of the family's 1533-position model. The record is from RNAcentral.
UAGAGUUUGAUCCUGGCUCAGAACGAACGUUGGCGGCGUGGAUUAGGCAUGCAAGUCGAGCGAGAAGUCUUCCUUCGGGGAAAUGGACAGCGGCAAACGGCGUAGUAAUGCGUAGGUUACGUGCCCUUAGGACCGGGAUAGCCGCGGGAAACUGCGGGUAAUACCGGAUAAUGUCUUCGGACCAAAUGGUGUGAUUCCGCCUAGGGAGCGGCUUACGUGGUAUUAGCUUGUUGGUGAGGUAACGGCUCACCAAGGCAACGAUGCCUAGGGGGUGUGAGAGCAUGGCCCCCACGACUGGGACUGAGACACUGCCCAGACACCUACGGGA